UAGCUAUGUCUAGAAACAUCCAUCUUCUUCGUUAUUGUACCAUUCUUCAUCCUAUAUCAGUACGAGUCUCAUUGUAGGUUAAAGGAAAUUUUCGGUAACUGGUAAUAUAAAUUGUAAAUAAAUUACCAUAAAGAGAAACAGGAGACUGAAGAGGGAAUUUCAGCAGAGACAGACAUGAAUAUGGCUUUUGAUGGUGAUAUAGUCGCAGUUGAGCUUUUGCCUCAAGAACAGUGGCACGAGGAUAAGUCUUUGGAAUUAGUUGAUGAAGGUUUGUCCACAUUGUUUUUUUACUUUAAUGAACAUGAUUUUCUUUUAUAUUGCAAAAUUGAUCUACUUUUCUUUCGAACUAGGCGAAAUGGCCUGGAUUUGUCCUCUAUUAACAAUUGGAUCAUCAUGAUAUGGACUUGUUGACUAACUUAAAACGAUUAAAGAUUUAUUAGUAUCUCAUCAGACUAAUUAGCACUAUCAUUUGUCAUACGUGGCUUAAAUUCACCCCUUCUACCUCCCCUUAACUCUCUACCCGACCUCCAUGCAACCUAUCAAUCCUUCUCCAUCUACUAUCGUUAUUGUUGGCCAUGGUUAUGGUCAAGGGAAACAAUAACGUCAAUAUAUGCAUCUUAAAUUUAGAAUGUAUCUCUUAAUUUUGUUUUGCUAAUUUUUCUCUCCCUUUCUUAUUCUGCUUCUAAGGUUAAUGUUUUGUAAAUUUUUUCAUCAUGUGGUGACAACUAAUAUAUCCUUAUCUAAAGUUGGAUACAAAAUAUUACGAUUUAGGAAUAUUGAACUGUGAUGCCACUGACGACCAAGUUAUUGUUGAAAGUGAUGAGAGAACUCUGAAGUAAGUUAGAUUAAUUGUUCUUCUUACUUAUUUUCAUCCGUUUCGCACUUAGAGAUUCAUUGUUUUAGGUGAUUGUUGGUUUUUUCUCCUUCAGAAUUGAUGUAAAUUUAUAGUUUCUUAAAAUGAUCAGUUGAAGUUGAUUAAUGUAUUAGUUUGAGAAAUUAGCUUUCUUUGUGUUGUUGCAAAUUCUUUUGUAUUUCACACCAAAGUUAGCAUGUAAGAAAUGAUGGAAUGCAUGUACUCACCUCAGUUGAUAAAUUGGACAACACCUUAGUUGAAUUUUGAA
Long non-coding RNA from Solanum pennellii, 1121 nucleotides. RefSeq lists it as uncharacterized. Lineage: Eukaryota; Viridiplantae; Streptophyta; Magnoliopsida; Solanales; Solanaceae. The transcript has 3 exons. The record is from RefSeq and is a predicted model, not a curated record.